This 422-nucleotide ribosomal RNA is filed under the name uncultured bacterium. RNAcentral's name for it is "bacterial SSU rRNA". It matches the Rfam family "Bacterial small subunit ribosomal RNA", at positions 355 to 774 of the family's 1533-position model. The record is from RNAcentral.
UGAGGAAUAUUGGUCAAUGGGGGCAACCCUGAACCAGCCAAGUCGCGUGAAGGAUGAAGGUCUUAUGGAUUGUAAACUUCUUUUACACGGGAAUAAAGCGGGGGACGUGUCCCUCUUUGCAUGUACCGUGUGAAUAAGGAUCGGCUAACUCCGUGCCAGCAGCCGCGGUAAUACGGAGGAUCCGAGAGUUAUCCGGAUUUAUUGGGUUUAAAGGGUGCGUAGGCGGCGAUAUAAGUCAGUGGUGAAAUAUUUCGGCUUAACCGAGAGACUGCCGUUGAUACUGUGUUGCUAGAAUAUGGUUGCUGUGAGGGGAAUGUGUGGUGUAGCGGUGAAAUGCUUAGAUAUCACACAGAAUAUCGAUUGCGAAGGCAGCUCACAAAGCCAUUAUUGACGCUGAGGCACGAAAGUGUGGGGAUCAAACA